AUGAGUGCUAAGUGUUAGAGGGUUUCCGCCCUUUAGUGCUGCAGCUAACGCAUUAAGCACUCCGCCUGGGGAGUACGGUCGCAAGACUGAAACUCAAAGGAAUUGACGGGGGCCCGCACAAGCGGUGGAGCAUGUGGUUUAAUUCGAAGCAACGCGAAGAACCUUACCAGGUCUUGACAUCCUCUGACAACCCUAGAGAUAGGGCUUUCCCCUUCGGGGGACAGAGUGACAGGUGGUGCAUGGUGGUCGUCAGCUCGUGUCGUGAGAUGUUGGGUUAAGUCCCGCAACGAGCGCAACCCUUGAUCUUAGUUGCCAGCAUUCAGUUGGGCACUCUAAGAUGACUGCCGGUGACAAACCGGAGGAAGGUGGGGAUGACGUCAAAUCAUCAUGCCCCUUAUGACCUGGGCUACACACGUGCUACAAUGGACGGUACAAAGGGCUGCAAGACCGCGAGGUUUAGCCAAUCCCAUAAAACCGUUCUCAGUUCGGAUUGUAGGCUGCAACUCGCCUACAUGAAGCUGGAAUCGCUAGUAAUCGCGGAUCAGAAUGCCGCGGUGAAUACGUUCCCGGGCCUUGUACACACCGCCCGUCACACCACGAGAGUUUGUAACACCCGAAGUCGGUGAGGUAACCUUGGAG
RNAcentral lists this ribosomal RNA (639 nucleotides) under Bacillus sp. (in: firmicutes). RNAcentral's name for it is "bacterial SSU rRNA". It matches the Rfam family "Bacterial small subunit ribosomal RNA", at positions 809 to 1448 of the family's 1533-position model. Lineage: Bacteria; Bacillati; Bacillota; Bacilli; Caryophanales; Bacillaceae. The record is from RNAcentral.